This 400-nucleotide ribosomal RNA is filed under the name uncultured bacterium. RNAcentral's name for it is "bacterial SSU rRNA". It matches the Rfam family "Bacterial small subunit ribosomal RNA", at positions 355 to 772 of the family's 1533-position model. The record is from RNAcentral.
UGGGGAAUAUUGGACAAUGGGGGAAACCCUGAUCCAGCCAUGCCGCGUGUGUGAUGAAGGCCUUCGGGUUGUAAAGCACUUUCGCACGUGACGAUGAUGACGGUAACGUGAGAAGAAGCCCCGGCUAACUUCGUGCCAGCAGCCGCGGUAAUACGAAGGGGGCAAGCGUUGUUCGGAAUUACUGGGCGUAAAGGGCGCGUAGGCGGUGUAUUAAGUUAGGCGUGAAAGCCCUGGGCUCAACCCGGGAAUUGCGCUUGAUACUGGUACGCUAGAAUCCAGGAGAGGUUGGUGGAAUUCCCAGUGUAGAGGUGAAAUUCGUAGAGAUUGGGAAGAACACCGGUGGCGAAGGCGGCCAACUGGACUGGUAUUGACGCUGAGGCGCGAAAGCGUGGGGAGCAAA